GGUGCAGUGGCCUAAGGCACUGCAUCUCAGUGCUAGAGGCGUCACUACAGACCCUGGUUCGAUUCCAGGCUGUAUCA
Non-coding RNA from Salmo salar (Atlantic salmon), 77 nucleotides. Lineage: Eukaryota; Metazoa; Chordata; Actinopteri; Salmoniformes; Salmonidae. The record is from Rfam.